Small nuclear RNA from Dipodomys ordii (Ord's kangaroo rat), 93 nucleotides. The record is from Ensembl. NCBI's taxonomy places the organism in Eukaryota, Metazoa, Chordata, Mammalia, Rodentia, Heteromyidae.
GUGCUUGCUUCGGCAGCACAUAUACUAAAAUUGGAACGAUACAGAGAAGAUUAGCAUGGCCCCACGCAAAUUCAUGGAGCAUUAAAAAAAACU